UCGCCCGUUGCUCGAGCCGGAAGACGCGCGCGGGCUGAAAUUCCGCGUGCAGGCGUCCGACGUGCUCAACGAGCAGUUCCGCCAGCUCCGCGCGAUC
RNAcentral lists this transfer RNA (97 nucleotides) under Pseudomonas aeruginosa. RNAcentral describes it as "tRNA-Phe(gaa)". The record is from RNAcentral. Lineage: Bacteria; Pseudomonadati; Pseudomonadota; Gammaproteobacteria; Pseudomonadales; Pseudomonadaceae.